RNAcentral lists this long non-coding RNA (827 nucleotides) under Felis catus (domestic cat). RNAcentral's name for it is "lncRNA (ENSFCAG00000045868.2)". Lineage: Eukaryota; Metazoa; Chordata; Mammalia; Carnivora; Felidae. The record is from RNAcentral.
ACAGUGGAAUUAAAAUUAACAACUUAAGAAAAAAAUAAUAAAACUAAACAUAAGUAAACAGUAAGUUAAAACUGAAGAUUACUUAACUUAGUUAUUAAGUAACCUUUUGUUCAUUCAAAACAACAUUACUCAUUCUGAUUACCACAAGAAGACUCACAAAAAAAUCAAGCAUAACAUUCCAGGCGAAGCUUUAAUCUUCAACUAAGCACAUUCUCUGGAAUCUCACGAGAGACUAAGUCUGAGAUAUAUUUUAUGUUAGUUUAUCACCCUUAAGCCCUUAAUUAGCAUGAGGUCUCACAGAGUUACUAGAUGAGAAGGUCAUUUUAAAAAUUACUUAGAGUUACUGCAUGGUUCUUGUAAAAAAUAAAUGGAAAAGAGGUGAUAGGAGGGAAAUCUAGGACUGGGUCACCUGGAAUCCCAGCAGGUUUGACAUAAGUGUGCACACAGUCUCUGAAUACUGCUGACAGGCGCAAAGGCGGUCGGGGAGGCAUGGAUUCUUCUCCUGGCUCUGCCUGUAAGAUAUGUUGUAUUCACGGGAAGGUACCUGGACAACUUCUCAGGGUUACACAGAGGGGUUGCCCACACCUGCCUCCCCUCACCCCGAUCCACAGCACUACCUGCUACAGACAGGAAGAGGAAUUAAAAGGCUAUGUUCCGAGGCCAGAAUGUUAGAGAAGAUUCCAAAAGAAGAGCAGAUUGCUACCCAUAAAACUAAGCAACGUCAACGUGGAAUUACUGGAAGAAUCCGAAAGUCUUUGCAGAAAUGCUGUGCUUACUCCAAUGUUUCUCAAAAACCAGCUAUUUUAAAGGGACCAGGGUCAAUAUAA